Molecule: ribosomal RNA, 253 nt
Filed under: uncultured bacterium
Lineage: Bacteria
Description: partial 16S ribosomal RNA
Rfam family: Bacterial small subunit ribosomal RNA
Source: RNAcentral
AACGGAGGGGAUGAGUGUUACUCAUAAAUACUGGGCGUAAAGCGCACGUAGGCGGCUCGAAAAGUCGGAUGUGAAAGCCCUGGGCUCAACCUAGGAAGUGCAUUCGAAACUGCCGAGCUUGAGUACGGGAGAGGGUUGCGGAAUUCCCGGUGUAGAGGUGAAAUUCGUAGAUAUCGGGAGGAACACCAGUGGCGAAGGCGGCAGCCUGGACCGAUACUGACGCUGAGGUGCGAAAGCGUGGGGAGCGAACAGG